This 20-nucleotide microRNA is filed under the name Ciona intestinalis (vase tunicate). Its description in RNAcentral is "cin-miR-4006c-5p". The record is from miRBase by way of RNAcentral. Lineage: Eukaryota; Metazoa; Chordata; Ascidiacea; Phlebobranchia; Cionidae.
UGGAACAUGUAAAUAAGGGC